This 69-nucleotide non-coding RNA is filed under the name Serratia sp. Tan611. The record is from RNAcentral. Lineage: Bacteria; Pseudomonadati; Pseudomonadota; Gammaproteobacteria; Enterobacterales; Yersiniaceae.
AAAGGCACGACAUUGCUCACAUUGCUUCCAGUAUUAUUUUCAAGCCAGCUCGGGUGCUGGCUUUUUUUU